RNAcentral lists this ribosomal RNA (572 nucleotides) under uncultured bacterium. RNAcentral describes it as "partial 16S ribosomal RNA". It matches the Rfam family "Bacterial small subunit ribosomal RNA", at positions 355 to 919 of the family's 1533-position model. The record is from RNAcentral.
UGGGGAAUUUUGGACAAUGGGCGCAAGCCUGAUCCAGCCAUGCCGCGUGCGGGAAGAAGGCCUUCGGGUUGUAAACCGCUUUUGUCAGGGAAGAAAUCUUCUGAGUUAAUACCUCGGGAGGAUGACGGUACCUGAAGAAUAAGCACCGGCUAACUACGUGCCAGCAGCCGCGGUAAUACGUAGGGUGCAAGCGUUAAUCGGAAUUACUGGGCGUAAAGCGUGCGCAGGCGGUUUUGUAAGACAGAGGUGAAAUCCCCGGGCUCAACCUGGGGACUGCCUUUGUGACUGCAAGGCUUGAGUGCGGCAGAGGGGGGAUGGAAUUCCGCGUGUAGCAGUGAAAUGCGUAGAUAUGCGGAGGAACACCGAUGGCGAAGGCAAUCCCCUGGGCCUGCACUGACGCUCAUGCACGAAAGCGUGGGGAGCAAACAGGAUUAGAUACCCUGGUAGUCCACGCCCUAAACGAUGUCAACUGGUUGUUGGGAAGGUUCCUUCUCAGUAACGUAGCUAACGCNUGAAGUUGACCGCCUGGGGAGUACGGCCGCAAGGUUGAAACUUAAAUGAAUUGACGGGGU